AUGCUCCUUCAAGUAGGGCAGAAGGACUUUCUGUUUCUUUUUCUUCUCUUUACAGGAGGACUUUUUUAUCACAUGGAUAAAAGAGGAAACAUCAAAAGUCUCCAGGUCACUUUGCCAUUGUACAAAUCUCAAAAUUUCACAAGCCUACCCUCGUCAUUUAUGGAAAAUUUGGGAGAAAAGACUUGGUACAUGUAAAUGGAAGAAAACAGGUGUAUCUAUUGUCAUUUCCAUCAGAGUGCCUUUGGAAGACUACAUAACCAACAGUUCCCAUUUCACCACAAUUUCUAGUAAGACAGCAUGACUGACUGUGGCUCAAUGUUCUGUUUCGUAAUGGGUAAGGACAGACAGGGUGCUUCUUGGGCUUUCACCUUUUGGAAGCCACUAAACUGAAGCAAAUUUGGAUUUUCCACAAAGAGGAAGUCUUAUUAUAAGUUCCAUCAUACAUUUGUCGCCAGGUGAUGUGCAAAUAUCAGUGCAAAAGGCCCAUGACAGCAACUCAUAGAGCUUUGAUGUGAAGUCACUCACACUUAGGGCCUGCUGGCGUUGUCUAAUUAUGUGAUACCCAUACUUAGGAAAUGUCAAGAAGGUCUGAACUCCUAUAGUAUCUACCUCAAUGGAAUGCUUGUAAAUCAGAGUCUAGAAAAAAGGCUUCAGCGUGGGCAGUGCAAAAACUUGGCCUAUUUCCAUUCCCUGUGCAUGAAAAGAGGGAAAUAAUAUUUUUUUCUGGAUUAGUACAAUAUCAGUUAUAUAAGAUCAUUCAUGUGAAAUGUUUCCAGUACUGUUUUGUUGCUGGAAGUCAGCACCAGGCUGAUUUAUCUGAGCAGCAGAGUCUGAGCUAUACCUCAAAGGUCUGGGCUGUCUUCUGAAAACAAUGGGGAAAAGAUUUUCUGCAGCACUUUCCAAAACCUCUGAGGAUGGGGCAAGCCCUCCAUUCAUCUUAGGCAAAAAGAGAAAUAGGGAAUGAAAAUUUCUCCUGGUAAUGGCUUCAGUGGAUAAGGAGAACAUAUUUAAUAUAACUUUAAAAAUUUAUGUGACUAGGCAGUGUUAGAAUUGAUCUGUACAACUGUGAUAUAGAUCUCACAUGUUCUACAUUUCAGAGUCUAAAAUGACUUCCAAGUGACCCCUAGGAAGGUCCAUAUGAAAGUGGAUAAUUUACAAAAAAUGAUCCACUUGAAAGAAACCCUUACAUAUAGUUCUUAAUUCCUAAUCUUCAGCAAAUCAAAAAUUAAAAGAAGGCUACUUGUGCUUUAUAUUUUUUUAUAUAGAUUCACCUUAGGUUUCUUCUGAAUGGUAAGCUUUCUCAGAAACUUGAUUUAGGGGCACCUGCGUGGCUCAGUUGGUUGAGUGUCCAACUUCACCUCAGGUCAUGACCUUAGGCUUGUGAAUUCGAGCCCCGGGCUCUGUGCUAACAGCUCAGAGCCUGGAACCUGCUUAGGCUUCUGUGUCUCCCUCUCUCUUUGCCCCUCCCUCGAUCAUACUCUGUCUCUCUCUCUCUUUCUCUCUCAAAAAUAAACAUUGAAAAAAAUUUUUUUAAUAAAUAAAA
RNAcentral lists this long non-coding RNA (1543 nucleotides) under Felis catus (domestic cat). Its description in RNAcentral is "lncRNA (ENSFCAG00000045111.2)". Lineage: Eukaryota; Metazoa; Chordata; Mammalia; Carnivora; Felidae. The record is from RNAcentral.